GAUGAACGCUGGCGGCGUGCCUAAUACAUGCAAGUCGAGCGAACGGACGAGAAGCUUGCUUCUCUGAUGUUAGCGGCGGACGGGUGAGUAACACGUGGAUAACCUACCUAUAAGACUGGGAUAACUUCGGAAAACCGGAGCUAAUACCGCAUAAGCCCACGGAACCGCAUGGUUCAGAGGGAAAAGGAGCAAUUCGCUCUGGGAUGGACUCGCGUCCGAUUAGCUGGAUGGUGAGGUAACGGCCCACCAUGGCGACGAUCGGUAGCCGGACUGAGAGGUUGAUCGGCCACAUUGGGACUGAGACACGGCCCAG
This 313-nucleotide ribosomal RNA is filed under the name uncultured bacterium. RNAcentral describes it as "bacterial SSU rRNA". It matches the Rfam family "Bacterial small subunit ribosomal RNA", at positions 28 to 334 of the family's 1533-position model. The record is from RNAcentral.